Molecule: ribosomal RNA, 253 nt
Filed under: uncultured bacterium
Lineage: Bacteria
Description: partial 16S ribosomal RNA
Rfam family: Bacterial small subunit ribosomal RNA
Source: RNAcentral
UACGAGAGGCGCAAACGUUAUUCGGAAUUACUGGGCGUAAAGGGUUCGUAGGUGGCUUGCUAAGUCAGACGUGAAAUCCCUCAGCUUAACUGGGGAACUGCGUCUGAUACUGGCGAGCUUGAGUGCAGGAGAGGAACGCAGAAUUCCAGGUGUAGCGGUGAAAUGCGUAGAUAUCUGGAGGAAUACCGGUGGCGAAGGCGGCGUUCUGGACUGCAACUGACACUGAUGAACGAAAGCCAGGGGAGCAAACGGG